UACGUAGGGUGCAAGCGUUGUCCGGAAUUAUUGGGCGUAAAGAGCUCGUAGGCGGUCUGUCGCGUCGAAUGUGAAAACCCGGGGCUCAACCCCGGGCCUGCAUUCGAUACGGGCAGACUAGAGUUCGGUAGGGGAGUCUGGAAUUCCUGGUGUAGCGGUGAAAUGCGCAGAUAUCAGGAGGAACACCGGUGGCGAAGGCGGGUCUCUGGGCCGAUACUGACGCUGAGAAGCGAAAGCGUGGGGAGCGAACAGG
This 253-nucleotide ribosomal RNA is filed under the name uncultured bacterium. RNAcentral's name for it is "partial 16S ribosomal RNA". It matches the Rfam family "Bacterial small subunit ribosomal RNA", at positions 524 to 776 of the family's 1533-position model. The record is from RNAcentral.